Molecule: ribosomal RNA, 314 nt
Filed under: uncultured eukaryote
Lineage: Eukaryota
Description: partial 18S ribosomal RNA
Rfam family: Eukaryotic small subunit ribosomal RNA
Source: RNAcentral
CCCUUAGAUGUUCCGGGCCGCACGCGCGCUACAAUGGCAGACUCAGCGAGUUACCUCUGUCGAAAGGCACAGGGAAUCUUUACAGUAUCUGCCGUGAUGGGGAUAGACCCUUGUAAUUUUUGGUCUUCAACGAGGAAUUCCUAGUAAACGCAAGUCAUUAACUUGCAUUGAUUACGUCCCUGCCCUUUGUACACACCGCCCGUCGCACCUACCGAUUGAAUGGUCCGGUGAAGUCCUCGGACCCAGUUGAACCUCGAGUUGAACAGGGAAAGUUGACUAAAUCUUACCAUUUAGAGGAAGGUGAAGUCGUAACA